This 518-nucleotide ribosomal RNA is filed under the name uncultured Entrophospora. Its description in RNAcentral is "SSU rRNA". It matches the Rfam family "Eukaryotic small subunit ribosomal RNA", at positions 569 to 1081 of the family's 1831-position model. The record is from RNAcentral. Lineage: Eukaryota; Fungi; Glomeromycota; Glomeromycetes; Entrophosporales; Entrophosporaceae.
AGCAGCCGCGGUAAUUCCAGCUCCAAUAGCGUAUAUUAAAGUUGUUGCAGUUAAAAAGCUCGUAGUUGAAUUUCGGGAUUGACCCAUCGGUCGUGCCUUAAGGGGUAUGAACUGGUGUAGUCAAUUUCUCACCUUCUGGAGAACCGUGAUGUCCUUAAUUGGGUGCCACGAGGAACCAGGACCUUUACUUUGAAAAAAUUAGAGUGUUUAAAGCAGGCAUUUUUGCUUGAAUACAUUAGCAUGGAAUAAUAAAAUAGGACGGCAUGAUUCUAUUUUGUUGGUUUCUAGGAUCACCGUAAUGAUUAAUAGGGAUAGUUGGGGGCAUUAGUAUUCAAUUGUCAGAGGUGAAAUUCUUGGAUUUAUUGAAGACUAACUACUGCGAAAGCAUUUGCCAAGGAUGUUUUCAUUAACCAAGAACGAAAGUUAGGGGAUCGAAGACGAUCAGAUACCGUCGUAGUCUUAACCAUAAACUAUGCCGACUAGGAAUCAGACGAUGUUAAUUUUUUAAUGACUCGUUU